Molecule: long non-coding RNA, 112 nt
Organism: Oreochromis niloticus (Nile tilapia)
Lineage: Eukaryota; Metazoa; Chordata; Actinopteri; Cichliformes; Cichlidae
Exons: 3
Source: RefSeq, a predicted model, not a curated record
GGGACUCCUGGACAACCUGGUCUCCGUGGGAACAAAGGAGUUAAGGGAAUCCAAGGAAGCUCAGGACUCCCAGGUCUGAUUGGACGAAAGGGUCUAAGGGCAAAAGGGGAGA